AGAAUCCUGCAUUCUUCCAGAACUGUCACUAUGUGGCUGAGGCCCAUGGUUUGUUGGCAGCUUGCUCAGUAUCUGGAAUCAUUGCUGUAGUGGCACCUGAGUGCCUGUACUGCUCAGCAUGGUGAAACAAUUUCAUAACCCCCUGUGUGAGUAGGGUACCCUCAAAAUAUCUUCUCAACAGAAUUUUCCCUUCUACAUCUUUGGGCCUUCAGUGGGUGUGGUGUCACAAAUUCCUGAGAUGACCUCAAGGCAUCUUUCUUAGUACAUUUAGCAUAGUUUUAGGGGCUAUAAUUUUUUCAACAAGCAUACCUUUGGCCCCAGAUUUACAUGCACUUUUCUGGCCAAACUGCAAAUUUAAAAAAUCCCUUAGCUGUUUUCUACUCCUAUUUCUCACAAGAAACCUGGCUACCAUUUGCCAGCAAUAUCCAUGCCAUUGACCGGAUGCUGGGCUGCCUUGAAAUUUCAUCCACUGGAUUAAUUAUUCCAUCAUUUUUAAAUUCAGCCCCAAAGGGUCAGAACAUGAGCAAAAUGUAGAUAAGUUCUUCAUCAGAAUAUAACAGAAGUGGCCUCUAGUCCAAUUCCCAAUAGAAUCUUCAUUUCCCUCAUGAGCACAGUCUGCAUUCCCCUUGGGAUUCUGGUCUUUUGAACUCCCACCAGAAUCACCCAGUAAACUCUGCUGACAAAAUUCCAAAGGUUUUCUAGUUUACAUCUCUAAACUUUUCAAAAUACGUCUGAACCAUAUGGUCAGGUUAGUAAUAGCAAUGACCCCACUUCUUGGUACCAUUUUCUGUUUUAGUCAGAUUUUAAAA
RNAcentral lists this long non-coding RNA (809 nucleotides) under Marmota monax (woodchuck). Lineage: Eukaryota; Metazoa; Chordata; Mammalia; Rodentia; Sciuridae. The record is from RNAcentral.